UUUAUCGUUUCCUUAAACUAAGUAAACAGAAUACAAUUUCAAUCACAUAUAUAAAGAAGAAAUGAUAAUUUAACUAAUUUUUAACAGAUUUACAUGAUGAUAACACUGAUAUAACAUUCAUCUUGAAAUAAAAUCAGAUCUUAAUAUGCUUCAUCAACCAAAUCGGGAUCAAAUCCUUCUUAUUAUCAUCAAGAAUCUGCAAUAUAUGAAUUUGACAAUUACCUGAUUUAUAGAAUAAUAAAAUACAGUAGUGUAGCAACAGAAAUUCAGCAGCAAAUAGUAUAAAAACAGCAGCAACUCACGUGUUAAGACAACCCAAAAAACUCAACAAAUAUGCUUGAAAUUGGUAGCUAUCGACUUCACAAAUUGGCUAAGGGAUCUUUCUAUUUUUCCCAAAAUUUUUGCACUCAACUCCUACUCAUAAAGCUAUGAAGUUUCAGCUUGCUAUAUGUAUAAAGCUUCUGAUUUUUCUCAAAGAUAUAUGCCUUUUGUUUUAGCAACUCUCCAGAUCCUUCCUCUCUAUUUGCUUUUCUUUCCGAUCCCCUCUCUUUCCUCCUCCCCUUUUUGACUUUCCUCCCCCUCUUUUGACUUUUUGUUAUAUGUAUAGUAGAAUAAAAAUUGGGGGAAGGAGAAAUUGAAUUCCUACCCCAUGUGAGCUUUU
This 661-nucleotide long non-coding RNA is filed under the name Nicotiana tabacum (common tobacco). Its description in RNAcentral is "long non-coding RNA (NTAB_LNC008568)". Lineage: Eukaryota; Viridiplantae; Streptophyta; Magnoliopsida; Solanales; Solanaceae. The record is from RNAcentral.